AUUGAACGCUGGCGGCAUGCUUUACACAUGCAAGUCGAACGGCAGCGCGGGCUUCGGCCUGGCGGCGAGUGGCGAACGGGUGUGUAAUGCAUCUGAACGUGCCCAGUAGUGGGGGAUAGCCCGGCGAAAGCCGGAUUAAUACCGCAUACGACCUGAGGGGGAAAGCGGGGGACCGAAAGGCCUCGCGCUAUUGGAGCGGCCGAUGUCGGAUUAGCUAGUUGGUGGGGUAAAGGCUUACCAAGGCGACGAUCCGUAGCUGGUCUGAGAGGACGACCAGCCACAGUGGGACUGAGACACGGCCCAGACUCCUACGGGAGGCAGAAGUGGGGAAUUUUGGACAAUGGGGGGAACCCUGAUCCAGCCAUGCCGCGUGCGGGAAGAAGGCCUUCGGGUUGUAAACCGCUUUUGUUCGGGAAGAAAUCCUCUGGGCUAAUACCCCGGGGGGAUGACGGUACCGGAAGAAUAAGCACCGGCUAACUACGUG
This 484-nucleotide ribosomal RNA is filed under the name uncultured bacterium. RNAcentral describes it as "partial 16S ribosomal RNA". It matches the Rfam family "Bacterial small subunit ribosomal RNA", at positions 28 to 507 of the family's 1533-position model. The record is from RNAcentral.